This 490-nucleotide ribosomal RNA is filed under the name Streptomyces wuyuanensis. RNAcentral's name for it is "bacterial SSU rRNA". It matches the Rfam family "Bacterial small subunit ribosomal RNA", at positions 342 to 842 of the family's 1533-position model. The record is from RNAcentral. Lineage: Bacteria; Bacillati; Actinomycetota; Actinomycetes; Kitasatosporales; Streptomycetaceae.
CGGGAGGCAGCAGUGGGGAAUAUUGCACAAUGGGCGAAAGCCUGAUGCAGCGACGCCGCGUGAGGGAUGACGGCCUUCGGGUUGUAAACCUCUUUCAGCAGGGAAGAAGCGAAAGUGACGGUACCUGCAGAAGAAGCGCCGGCUAACUACGUGCCAGCAGCCGCGGUAAUACGUAGGGCGCAAGCGUUGUCCGGAAUUAUUGGGCGUAAAGAGCUCGUAGGCGGCUUGUCACGUCGGUUGUGAAAGCCCGGGGCUUAACCCCGGGUCUGCAGUCGAUACGGGCAGGCUAGAGUUCGGUAGGGGAGAUCGGAAUUCCUGGUGUAGCGGUGAAAUGCGCAGAUAUCAGGAGGAACACCGGUGGCGAAGGCGGAUCUCUGGGCCGAUACUGACGCUGAGGAGCGAAAGCGUGGGGAGCGAACAGGAUUAGAUACCCUGGUAGUCCACGCCGUAAACGUUGGGAACUAGGUGUGGGCGACAUUCCACGUCGUCC